RNAcentral lists this ribosomal RNA (1005 nucleotides) under uncultured bacterium. RNAcentral describes it as "bacterial SSU rRNA". It matches the Rfam family "Bacterial small subunit ribosomal RNA", at positions 355 to 1375 of the family's 1533-position model. The record is from RNAcentral.
UGGGGAAUAUUGGGCAAUGGGGGAAACCCUGACCCAGCAACGCCGCGUGAGGGAAGAAGGUUUUCGGAUUGUAAACCUCUGUCCUAAGAGAAGAGGGGAAGACGGUAUCUUAGGAGGAAGCCCCGGCUAACUACGUGCCAGCAGCCGCGGUAAUACGUAGGGGGCGAGCGUUGUCCGGAAUGAUUGGGCGUAAAGGGCGUGUAGGCGGCUUUAUAAGUCUGGAGUGAAAGUCCUGUUUUCAAGAUGGGAAUUGCUUUGGAUACUGUAGGGCUUGAGUGCAGGAGAGGUUAUCGGAAUUCCCGGUGUAGCGGUGAAAUGCGUAGAGAUCGGGAGGAACACCAGUGGCGAAGGCGGGUAACUGGACUGCAACUGACGCUGAGGCGCGAAAGUGUGGGGAGCAAACAGGAUUAGAUACCCUGGUAGUCCACACUGUAAACGAUGAAUGCUAGGUGUAGGGGGUAUCGACCCCUUCUGUGCCGGAGUAAACACAAUAAGCAUUCCGCCUGGGGAGUACGGCCGCAAGGUUGAAACUCAAAGGAAUUGACGGGGGCCCGCACAAGCAGCGGAGCAUGUGGUUUAAUUCGACGCAACGCGAAGAACCUUACCAGGUCUUGACAUCCACUUAAAGCCAUAGAGAUAUGGUGUGAGCUUGCUCGAAGUGAGACAGGUGGUGCAUGGUUGUCGUCAGCUCGUGUCGUGAGAUGUUGGGUUAAGUCCCGCAACGAGCGCAACCCUUGCUGAUAGUUACUAACGUGUAAAGACGAGGACUCUAUCAGGACUGCCGGGGACAACUCGGAGGAAGGUGGGGACGACGUCAAAUCAUCAUGCCCCUUAUGACCUGGGCUACACACGUGCUACAAUGGCCGUUACAAAGAGAAGCGAGGCUGCAAAGCGGAGCAGAUCUCAAAAAAGCGGUCUCAGUUCGGAUUGUGGGCUGCAACCCGCCUGCAUGAAGUCGGAGUUGCUAGUAAUCGCGGAUCAGCAUGCCGCGGUGAAUACGUUCCC